Long non-coding RNA from Oreochromis aureus, 729 nucleotides. RefSeq lists it as uncharacterized. The transcript is spliced from 3 exons. The record is from RefSeq and is a predicted model, not a curated record. NCBI's taxonomy places the organism in Eukaryota, Metazoa, Chordata, Actinopteri, Cichliformes, Cichlidae.
GCAGCCUUUUAUUCUGUGACACAGUUUACACAAACACCCAUUGUAAAACCCCCUAUGGUUUUUAAUCAAAAAUACAUAGUAUGAGUCUAAUUAAUAUGUUGAAUAAGAAAUGCAGAGUAAAUCAAAUUAUUCUAAUGUCUAGAAUUUAUGUGUGUAGACAUGAUUCAGCUUCAACCUUGGCUGAUAAAGGUCAUGGUGAACUACCUGUGUUUUUCCACUGUUUCCCAGUGUAUCCACCUCUGGGUGGAGCCCUCAUCAGUCCACCUGCUCAGCUCACCUGAUAGAGAUCGAGGACAAUCAGCACAGCAGUAUUUAGGACCAAGUCUUCUCCGCCAGUUUGUCAGCUAACCUUAACAUUAGUAAAAGGCUGCCUUUGCUUCAUACUCUUUGUUUCUAUGUUGUGCCUCUAGUCAUCUCUCAGAGCCAUCAUCCCACUUACCUGAGGCUUGCAUUCUCAGCAUGUUGGUCACCACGUAAAGACUCUCAAUCCUUUUCACCUGCCUGCCCCCCUGCCUUUGCUGCUCUGGCUCUCUGGAUAAACCAGGUUGGACUCUCUCCAAUCACCCACCUUCCAGGAUGCUCACUUGGCCAUUACCUCUCCCUCCUGACCCACACACACUCCACCUGCCAAUUCCAUCACAGUUCAUCAUCAGAUACUCCUCACUAAGCAUUCCUUCCUUGUGCCAUUGUUUAUUCUUGUGCUUAUCAAUAAAGCUUGUGAGAAUUCCU